This 429-nucleotide ribosomal RNA is filed under the name Chloroflexota bacterium. RNAcentral describes it as "Chloroflexi bacterium partial 16S ribosomal RNA". It matches the Rfam family "Bacterial small subunit ribosomal RNA", at positions 355 to 776 of the family's 1533-position model. The record is from RNAcentral. Lineage: Bacteria; Bacillati; Chloroflexota.
UGGGGAAUAUUGCACAAUGGGCGCAAGCCUGAUGCAGCCAUGCCGCGUGUGUGAAGAAGGCCUUCGGGUUGUAAAGCACUUUCAGCGGGGAGGAAGGCGAUAAGGUUAAUAACCUUGUCGAUUGACGUUACCCGCAGAAGAAGCACCGGCUAACUCCGUGCCAGCAGCCGCGGUAAUACGGAGGGUGCAAGCGUUAAUCGGAAUUACUGGGCGUAAAGCGCACGCAGGCGGUCUGUCAAGUCGGAUGUGAAUUCCCCAGGCUCAACCUGGGAACUGCAUUCGAAACUGGCAGGCUAGAGUCUUGUAGAGGGGGGUAGAAUUCCAGGUGUAGCGGUGAAAUGCGUAGAGAUCUGGAGGAAUACCGGUGGCGAAGGCGGCCCCCUGGACAAAGACUGACGCUCAGGUGCGAAAGCGUGGGGAGCAAACAGG